AUGCACGCUGGCGGCGUGCCUAAUACCUGCAAGUAGCACGCUGAAGGAGGAGCUUGCUCUUCUGGAUGAGUUGCGAACGGGUGAGUAACGCGUAGGUAACCUGCCUGGUAGCGGGGGAUAACUAUUGGAAACGAUAGCUAAUACCGCAUGACAACAGUUAUUGCAUGAUAACUGUUUAAAAGGGGCAACUGCUCCACUACCAGAUGGACCUGCGUUGUAUUAGCUAGUUGGUGAGGUAACGGCUCACCAAGGCGACGAUACAUAGCCGACCUGAGAGGGUGAUCGGCCACACUGGGACUGAGACACGGCCCAGACUCCUACGGGAGGCAGCAGUAGGGAAUCUUCGGCAAUGGACGGAAGUCUGACCGAGCAACGCCGCGUGAGUGAAGAAGGUUUUCGGAUCGUAAAGCUCUGUUGUAAGAGAAGAACGAGUGUGAGAGUGGAAAGUUCACACUGUGACGGUAUCUGACCAGAAAGGGACGGCUAACUACGUG
This 494-nucleotide ribosomal RNA is filed under the name uncultured bacterium. RNAcentral's name for it is "partial 16S ribosomal RNA". It matches the Rfam family "Bacterial small subunit ribosomal RNA", at positions 29 to 507 of the family's 1533-position model. The record is from RNAcentral.